This 224-nucleotide unclassified non-coding RNA is filed under the name plant metagenome. RNAcentral describes it as "partial contains small subunit ribosomal RNA, internal transcribed spacer 1, and 5.8S ribosomal RNA". The record is from RNAcentral.
GUCUCCGUUGGUGAACCAGCGGAGGGAUCAUUACCGAGUUAUCAACUCCCAAACCCCUGUGAACAUACCCAACGUUGCUUCGGCGGGACCGCCCCGGCGCCCUCGGCGUCCCGGAACCAGGCGCCCGCCGGAGGACCCAAACUCUUGUUUAAACCAUAGUGGCUUAUUCUGAGUCUCACAAGAAAAAUGAAUCAAAACUUUCAACAACGGAUCUCUUGGCUCUG